This 1467-nucleotide ribosomal RNA is filed under the name Triticum aestivum (bread wheat). Its description in RNAcentral is "partial small subunit ribosomal RNA". Lineage: Eukaryota; Viridiplantae; Streptophyta; Magnoliopsida; Poales; Poaceae. The record is from RNAcentral.
AUGGACCGCUACAGAGUGGCGCCGGCGCGGCCUGUCUUCCUCUCCGGCCACCUGCAGCCCGCGGCUGCCACCCGGCGCUCGGGCGGCGCCGAGCGGGAGCUCGACAUCUUCACGGCCGAUCGCUACUUCAACGCCGCGGACGCCGUCAAGUACAGCGCCGCCGCGGUCCAUGCGGACGACCCGCCGCGCCAGCUGCCCGUCGCUGCCGUGGAUGCGGCGGCAAGCCAGAGCAGCCUCACCGCGGCGUCGUCCGAGGUGAGCUGGAACAGCCGCUCCGGGCUGCUCGCCAGCAACCAGUCGCCGUCGGCGGCUAGGCAGCACGACAAGGGCUAUGGCGGUGGCGUCAACGGCGUCGUCGUCCUAGAUACGAGGGACGAUCGGUAUCACCGCGGCGGCAAGAAGCCUGCCGCCGCCGGCUUCGGGCAGCGCUGGGGGAUCUUCAGCCGGGACUGCCCCUGCGCCGGCAGGAAGGCCGUCACCGUCGACGUCGCCUCCGAGCCGACCACCCCGAGGGUCCACGCGAGGUUCGACGCCAGGGAGGAGAGCGCCGUCUUUAAGGCCAACGGGCUGCCUCCUCCGUCUACAAACGACGAGCCCGGCGUGAUGAAGAUUUUUACGACGGGGAGCUGCGCGUUCCCGCUUCGCGCCAACAACAACAUCCUCGCUCCGGCUACAGAUCAUGGGACCAGCGCUUCUUUCCCCGCAUUCCCGCCCGACGUAGGCCGCCGCGUGGUGAGCUCUGGCGGAUUCACCUUCCCGGUGAUCAGCCCGUCCAAGGCCAUCAGCAGCAGCGUCGUCGACGAGCCGCCGCGCGAGUCGCUGGAGGUGUUCCGUCCCAUCGACGAGGACUCGGUGGUGCUCGUGGACCCGCCGCCACCCCUAGCCGCGGCCGCUUUUCUGCGCGCGCCGGCGGUAGUGUCGGCCAUGGACGACGACGCGAUGAGCGACGCGAGCUCCGACCUGUUCGACCUGGAGAGCUUCGCGGCGUCAUCGUCGUACCCGACCACGUACCGUGGUCGCAGUAGCCGGCGCAACUCGGGGGACGACGACCUGGAGUACGCCACCGCGGCCGCGGAGCCAGCGCUGAGCGAGUGCAUGUACGCGCCGAGCGAGGCGAGCGUGGUGUGGAGCGUGGCCACGGCCGAGGGCGUGGCCUACGACACCGGCAGCGUGGCCAACUUCUCGAGCGCGGCGUCCGCGUGCGGCGUCGACGAGUUCCGGUUCGUCCCGCCCGGGUCCGCCGCCGGCCACGACGGCUUCACCGCCGCCAUGUCCCGAAGCGCCGGCCGCAAGAAAGGCGGCGGGUUCUUGGACAGCUGCCGGUGCGAGAAGGCCGUGAGCGUCGGGCCGACCCCGGUCCGUGUGGCCCGCCCGCCGGCGGUCCCGGCCAAGACGGCGAUGGGGCCUGAAAGCGGCGGCGUCGCGCGCUACCACAACCGCCGCGUCCACAUGCCGGUUCGGUCGUGA